UCCCUGAUGGUCCAGUGGUUAAGAUUCCUCGCUUUCACUGUAGGAGGCUCAGGUUCGAUUCCUGGUUGUGGAA
This 73-nucleotide transfer RNA is filed under the name Bos taurus (domestic cattle). It matches the Rfam family "tRNA". Rfam says of the family: Transfer RNA (tRNA) molecules are approximately 80 nucleotides in length. Lineage: Eukaryota; Metazoa; Chordata; Mammalia; Artiodactyla; Bovidae. RNAcentral also lists the same sequence under 3 other names. The record is from Rfam by way of RNAcentral.